This 20-nucleotide small nuclear RNA is filed under the name Arabidopsis thaliana (thale cress). Its description in RNAcentral is "snRNA_07513". The record is from RNAcentral. Lineage: Eukaryota; Viridiplantae; Streptophyta; Magnoliopsida; Brassicales; Brassicaceae.
AUAACAACGGAUAAUAGCGG